UACAGAGGGGGCAAGCGUUGUUCGGAAUUACUGGGCGUAAAGGGCGCGUAGGCGGCCUUCUAAGUCGAACGUGAAAUCCCUGGGCUCAACCCAGGAACUGCGUCCGAUACUGGAAGGCUUGAAUCCGGGAGAGGGAUGCGGAAUUCCAGGUGUAGCGGUGAAAUGCGUAGAUAUCUGGAGGAACACCGGUGGCGAAGGCGGCGUUCUGGACUGCAACUGACACUGAGAAACGAAAGCCAGGGUAGCAAACGGG
Molecule: ribosomal RNA, 253 nt
Filed under: uncultured bacterium
Lineage: Bacteria
Description: partial 16S ribosomal RNA
Rfam family: Bacterial small subunit ribosomal RNA
Source: RNAcentral